AUGGAGCUGCAGGGGCUGGGGAGGUACUGGGGCGUGGGCGGGAGGAGGUGCGGGUCGUGCCGGGGGUCGCCGGCGGCGGUGCACUGCCGGACGUGCGAUGGGGGCAGUGGGGACGGGGCGUACCUCUGCGCGGGGUGCGACGCGGGGCACGCGCGGGCGGGGCACGAGAGGGUGUGGGUCUGCGAGGUGUGCGAGCUCGCGCCGGCCGCGGUCACCUGCAAGGCCGACGCCGCCGCGCUCUGCGCCGCCUGCGACGCCGACAUCCACCACGCCAACCCGCUCGCGCGCCGCCACGAGCGCGUCCCCGUGCAGCCCAUCGGGUCCUCGUCACCCGAGGGACAGGAGCAGGACGCGUUCGUGAUGUCGUUCGGCGGCGCGGUCGACGGGGAGAAUAAGCAGGACCCCGUGGGGAACCUGAACGACGCUCUGGAAGACGGCGCCGGCGGGAAGGACAACGUGAAGCUCGACUUCCUGUUCGCGGACAUGAUGGACCCUUUCUUCGGCUCCGAGCUCCCUCGCUUCCCGCACGCCGAUAGCGUUGUCCCCAGCGGCGGCGCGCUGGAGCUGGACUUCGGUGGCGUCGCCGCCGCUGCUGCCGCCGCCGUCGUCUCCAACCCGUCCUACAGCUCCUACACGGCGGCGUCGCUCGGUGGAAGUCAGGGCUCGUCGUCGGAGGUCGGUUUGGUGCCGGACGCGAUCUGUGGCCGAGGCGGCGGCAUCAUCGAGCUGGACUUCGCACAGUCCAAGGCCGCGUACCUGCCGUACACCCCCACACCAAGCCGCAGUACUGUCUCCUCGGUGAAUGUUGGGUCGGUGCCGGAGCGGAGCGACAGCGCCGUAGUGGCAGCGACGCCGGCGACGGGGGAGGGGAGGGAGGCGCGUCUGAUGCGGUACCGCGAGAAGCGCAAGAACCGGCGGUUCGAGAAGACCAUCCGGUACGCGUCCCGGAAGGCCUACGCCGAGAGCCGGCCGCGCGUCAAGGGCCGCUUCGCCAAGCGCGCCGACGACGCCGACGCGGACGCCGACGACGCCGACGCGGACGCCGACGCCGUCGCGGUGGGCACGAUCACCACGCCCCGGCCCUGCGUGCUCGACUUCGGCAGCUACGGCGUCGUGCCCACCUUCUGA
This 1128-nucleotide ribosomal RNA is filed under the name Triticum aestivum (bread wheat). RNAcentral's name for it is "partial small subunit ribosomal RNA". The record is from RNAcentral. Lineage: Eukaryota; Viridiplantae; Streptophyta; Magnoliopsida; Poales; Poaceae.